AUGCCUGCACGUAUAGCAGCAGCAGCAGCAAUAGCAGCACACACACAUACACUUCUUCAUGCAUAUGCACGCAUGUAUAUAGUAGAGGUUCAGUUCAUGGAGGGUUCGUGGGAGGUUGAGGAAAAAGUUUCAGAGGCCACCGUAGCGGACGUCGGAGAGCUUGGACUUGAGCCACUUGAAGCUGCCGCGGACAGAGGACUUGAGGCGGGCCUGCGACGCGAACACGUUGUACGACGCCACCCGCCGCCGCCGCUUCGCCUCCGGGUCCUCGCCGGCGCUGGGGCCGUUGAAGCUGUACGACUUGACCGCCGCGCCGCCCCGGCUCACGUCCUCGUAGUCGUACCCGCCGCCGCACCCGUAGUACGCCGCCGUGGCGUGCUCGUGCGGCACCGAUCUGCACUUCUCCAUGGCCACCGGCGCGCGGCGAGCUCGCUGCUGCUGAUGAUGGUGGUGGUGUGUGUAGUGUGGGAGAGAGGAAAGAAUGCCGAGGCCUGA
Molecule: ribosomal RNA, 495 nt
Filed under: Triticum aestivum (bread wheat)
Lineage: Eukaryota; Viridiplantae; Streptophyta; Magnoliopsida; Poales; Poaceae
Description: partial small subunit ribosomal RNA
Source: RNAcentral